Molecule: ribosomal RNA, 396 nt
Filed under: uncultured bacterium
Lineage: Bacteria
Description: bacterial SSU rRNA
Rfam family: Bacterial small subunit ribosomal RNA
Source: RNAcentral
AGAGUUUGAUCCUGGCUCAGAGCGAACGCUGGCGGCAGGCCUAAUACAUGCAAGUCGAACGGAUCCUUCGGGAUUAGUGGCGGACGGGUGAGUAACACGUGGGAACGUGCCCUUUGGUUCGGAACAACUCAGGGAAACUUGAGCUAAUACCGGAUGAGCCCUUCGGGGGAAAGAUUUAUCGCCAUUGGAGCGGCCCGCGCCUGAUUAGCUAGUUGGUGGGGUAAUGGCCUACCAAGGCUACGAUCAGUAGCUGGUCUGAGAGGAUGAUCAGCCACACUGGGACUGAGACACGGCCCAGACUCCUACGGGAGGCAGCAGUAGGGAAUCUUGCGCGAAUGGGCGAAAGCCUGACGCUGCCAUGCCGCGUGAAUGAUGAAAGGUUCUUAGGAUUGUAAA